RNAcentral lists this ribosomal RNA (721 nucleotides) under Crepititermes verruculosus. Its description in RNAcentral is "partial 16S ribosomal RNA". The stretch from base 318 to 512 matches the Rfam family "Bacterial large subunit ribosomal RNA", at positions 1705 to 2024 of the family's 2925-position model. The record is from RNAcentral. Lineage: Eukaryota; Metazoa; Arthropoda; Insecta; Blattodea; Termitidae.
UUUUUAAGAAAUGAAUUUAAUUCAUACAUUUUAUUUAAUUUCUGUUAUUGUUUUAUUAAUUUUUAUUUUAUGUUAAGAUUAAGGGGGAUUAGCUCCUUGUUUUAUUUUUAUAAUUUAUUUGGGUUAUAUUUACUUUUGUGGAUUUUAUAGUGAUUUUCAAUUUGAUUAUGUUAAAAUUUUAUUUAUUUUUUUGUUUAUUUCCUUUAAUUUAAGUUUUAUAUUGAAAUGUUUAUUUUAUUUUGUUUUGUGUAGUAAUUAUUGUGUAAUUAGUAAAUCUGAUUUUUGUGUUGUUUUGGUUGUUUGGGUGUUAAUUUCUUUUUAGGAAUUCGGCAAAUAUUUAUGUCCGCCUGUUUAACAAAAACAUCUUUUCUUGUCAGUUUUUGAAGUAUGGCCUGCCCACUGACUUAUUUGUUGAAGGGCCGCGGUAUUUUGACCGUGCAAAGGUAGCAUAAUCAUUAGUUCUUUAAUUGUGAUCUGGUAUGAAUGGCUUGACGAGACAUAAGCUGUCUUAAUUGUAUUGUUUUAAUUGAAUUUGGUUUUUGAGUAAAAAUUCUUAAAUGUUUUUGUGGGACGAGAAGACCCUAUAGAGUUUGACAUUUAUCUUUUCUUAUGUUGCGGUUUGUUUUUAAUUUUUAGCUGGAUAAUUGUUUUGUUGGGGUGAUGGGAGGAAUUUUUUUAACUCCUCUUUAGUUUUUUAUACUUAUUUGUAUGUUUUUGAUCC